GGGGACACGGGAGAGGGCGGGGCCCUGAGACUCGCCUGUGCGUCCCCCGCCGGGCCGCUCCGGCGUUUUGUCCCAGCUCUCGCCACGCAGUUCGGUGCCAGCGACGGAAAGGCACAGGGGCCCGCGGUGGGACAAUUCAUGGAUUUUGGCACUGAUGCCAGCUGAGAGAUGGCCUAGCCAAAACGUCCUUGACCUGUAGGCGUCUGGGAUGAAACCGAGAACUUUGUUAUGUUUUUUCGGUGGAGGUUUUAGAUGCCUGAUGAAAAUGCUGUCCCUUCAGAAUGUUCUACAUAUUAUCUAUCGCUGAAGGUCUGGGCGACUACCCAGAUUUCAUUUCAUAAACAUUCCUCCUCGUACUCCCUGCUUUUCAGGGGUAGGGAGGCCGACUCUGCAGCAGAGGGAAACCUCUCCCAAGACCCCUGCAUCUUUCGGUCUUUUUUUUUUUUUUUUUUUUUUUUGUCCUCCAAUUUUCAUGAGCACAGCUUCACAUCCCUAGCCUAUUGCUCUGAGCCACUGUGGUGCCAAGGAGGGGAGAAGAAGUUUGAGCCCCUCCCUAUAGACUCCAUCAGGAAACCUGAAAUAAAAUGUAA
Pan troglodytes (chimpanzee) is the source of this 590-nucleotide long non-coding RNA. RefSeq lists it as uncharacterized. NCBI's taxonomy places the organism in Eukaryota, Metazoa, Chordata, Mammalia, Primates, Hominidae. The record is from RefSeq and is a predicted model, not a curated record. The transcript is spliced from 3 exons.